This is a non-coding RNA of Podarcis lilfordi (Lilford's wall lizard), 70 nucleotides long. Lineage: Eukaryota; Metazoa; Chordata; Lepidosauria; Squamata; Lacertidae. The record is from the annotation of a GenBank genome assembly.
GGCCAUAGCUCAGUGGUGGAGCAUCUGUCUUGCAUGAUGGUGGUCCCAGCUUCAAUCCCUGGCAUCUCCA